AGUAAUGACAGACCCAUUUCCUCAUCGGAGCACCUAUGUGGUGUAUUUUCUUUGUGGGGUAGAUAUUCCAGAUCCGCCAUAUUUUUAUAGACAUCGAUGGCCUAUUCAUGGUGUUCCGUCCAAGUAAGUGAAAUAUAGAUCCUGUUGGAAACAAAUCUGUUAAAGGGACUCUCUGGGAACCAAUACAGCUAUAAUAUAUUUAAUAGAUUUUGGCCUCAUUAAUAUGCUGUAUUUCUUACAUGUUCAAUUCUUUAGAGAUCGUGCAAAGAAAAAAAAAUGUUUUUCAG
This is a non-coding RNA of Pelobates cultripes (western spadefoot toad), 287 nucleotides long. The record is from the annotation of a GenBank genome assembly. Lineage: Eukaryota; Metazoa; Chordata; Amphibia; Anura; Pelobatidae.